UACUAGCGGUCCAAGUCGCAGCCAUCAUUAUUGGGUCUAAAAUAUCCGUAGCUUGCUUAAUAAGUUCCCUGUGAAAUCUUAUAUCUUAAGUAUAAGGCGUGCAGGGAAUACUGCUAAGCUAGAGACUGGAAGACGUAGAAAGUAUGUUCAAAGUAACGGUAAAAUGUGUUAAUCUUGAACAGACUCACAAUAGCGAAGGCAUUCUACGAGGACAGUUCUGACAGUAAAGGAUGAAGGCUAGGGGCGCAAAAUGGAUUAGAUACCCAUGUAGUCCUAGCAGUAAACACUGCAUACUAAACAUUAGUACCUCUUCGAGAGGUAUUAGUGCUGAAGGGAAGCCGAAGAGUAUGCUACCUGGGAAGUAUAGCCGCAAGGCCGAAACUUAAAGGAAUUGGCGGGGAGACACUACAACAGGUGACGCGUGCGGUUCAAUUAGAUUCUACACCGUGAACCUCACCAGGAGCGACAGCAGAAUGAAGGUCAGUCUGAAGGGCUUACCUGACACGCUGAGAGGAGUUGCAUGGCCGACGUUAGCCUGUGCUGUGAAGUGACCAGUUAAAUCUGGUAACAGGCAAGACCCACGUGUAUAUUUACCAUGUGUACAAUAUACAGAUUGCCUUGGUAACAAGGAUGAAAGUGUGGGCUACGUUAGGUGAGUACAGCCUGAAUACCCUGGGCGACACGCGCGCGUCAAUGGUAGAUACAAUGAGAUGCAACUCCGAGAGGAGAAGCCAAUCCCAUAAAGUCUAUCUCAGUUCAGAUUGAGGUUUGCAACCCAACCUCAUGACGUUGGAAUCUGUAGUAAUCGUUUGUUAUCAGCGAACGGUGAAUAUGUCCCUGUCUCU
RNAcentral lists this ribosomal RNA (845 nucleotides) under uncultured archaeon. Its description in RNAcentral is "bacterial SSU rRNA". It matches the Rfam family "Archaeal small subunit ribosomal RNA", at positions 474 to 1337 of the family's 1478-position model. The record is from RNAcentral.